Molecule: long non-coding RNA, 223 nt
Organism: Homo sapiens (human)
Lineage: Eukaryota; Metazoa; Chordata; Mammalia; Primates; Hominidae
Exons: 2
Source: RefSeq, a predicted model, not a curated record
CUUUCUUUGCAAUUCUAAUACUUUGGUUUGAAGCUUUUCUAUUUCACCUUCUCCUUUAAGACAUCUGGAAUAGAUUGCAAAGAGGUUAAUUUUUAAAUGGCUACUUAAAUACCUAUAGAGGCUUAUGCACUUUUCUCAAGAUUCUUCUAUUUUUAAAAACUAUGGAAUAUGACAAUCUUUUUAUCACUUACAAUGGAAAUAAACUAAUUUUACUAGAUAUCAA